AGAGUUUGAUCCUGGCUCAGCCUGAACGCUGGCGGCGUGGUUAAGACAUGCAAGUCGCACGGGCGUAGCAAUACGUCAGUGGCGAACGGGUGAGUAAUGAAUCGCUAAUGUGCCCCGGACUCUGGGAUAGCCAUCCGAAAGGAUGGGUAAUACCAGAUGACAUAUCCCUACCGCAUGGUGGGGGAUCUCAAAGGUCCGCCGGUCUGGGAGCAGGCGAUUUCGUAUCAGCUAGUUGGUGAGGUAACGGCUCACCAAGGCGACGACGCGUAGCCGGACUGAGAGGUUGGCCGGCCACAUCGGGACUGAGACACUGCCCGGACUCCUACGGGGGGCUGCAGUAACGAAUCUUCCCCAAUGCACGAAAGUGUGAGGGAGCGACGCCGCGUGUGGGACGAAGUCCUUCGGGAUGUAAACCACUGUCAGGGGAUACCAAGUUCUGAGGAUCCCCAGAGGAAGGGGCGGCUAACUCUGUGCCAGCAGCCGCGGUAAU
This 490-nucleotide ribosomal RNA is filed under the name uncultured soil bacterium. RNAcentral's name for it is "bacterial SSU rRNA". It matches the Rfam family "Bacterial small subunit ribosomal RNA", at positions 8 to 524 of the family's 1533-position model. The record is from RNAcentral.